This is a long non-coding RNA of Phyllopteryx taeniolatus (common seadragon), 1333 nucleotides long. RefSeq lists it as uncharacterized. The transcript is spliced from 2 exons. Lineage: Eukaryota; Metazoa; Chordata; Actinopteri; Syngnathiformes; Syngnathidae. The record is from RefSeq and is a predicted model, not a curated record.
CCCCUGGGCCUUGGGUUUGACACCUAUGCUCUAAAGUGUCUGUAAACAUUUCUUUGUGCGCGUAAAUACAUGCUGACAACGUAAGUAUGUUGACAACAACGAGCAAGGGAGGCUAUUGGUUGACGUCAAUUGAUAGGUCACACUACAGGGAAGAUUUCCCCCCAAAAUCAAAUCACUAACAUCCCUAUUUUCGCAUUAAGGUUUAAGGUUUAUAAGUAAAGGGCGCAAUUAUGAUGCUUGACAUCUAUAUAUUCUAUUACAUAAUACAGUACGUAAUCUAUUACUGUACUAUAAUUUAGUUAAUAGAAACAAACUAACAUUAUUUCACCAAUGUCUGUCGGCAGGAAGCCGGAGCGCCAAGCAGCAGCGUCAAAGUUAACGUGACAUGUUCGAUUCAAAAGAAUGACGAACAAGGGCGACACCACAUCUUCACCGUGGACAGAGCGGCCGCCUACUUGAUCUACGGCUGGCUGGUCUUCUCGCCAGCUGGAACCGGCGGGCUCCAGGAGGAUGAUAAGGUCGGGAUGGUGGUCCUCAAGCAGACGUUGAACCGGAGCGAGAUGAACAUUCAGACGAAGCCCAGAACGUCCGAGGUCUUCUUCUUUGUGAAGGUGAAGAUGGCGGACUACAGCACGUUGAGUGUCCACUUCAGCGGCCAGCACGCCGACAGCUCCUUCCACAUCUAUGAACUUUAACAGCCACCCAUGCUUUGGACUUUAUAUGAAAGUGCAAACAAAAACGGAUUGUCGACUGUCCGCGUGUCGAAGAGUCUUUAGGCAAGACGCUGAACCUGAAUUUGCUCCCAGUGGGCCUGGCAGCGCCUUGGAUGGCGGCAGCCGCCCAUUGGUGUGUGAAUGGGAGGCUUUGUAAAGCGCUUCGGGCCCUGUGAUGGUGUCGAUAAAACGCUACACAAACGCAGUCCAUUUACCGUAAUCCAAUCUGCUUGUCAAUGUUUCAAAAUCUAUAUUUCUUUUAUAUUCAUUCUAUCCUCCUAAUAUUAACAUUAGCUGUAAAAAGGCUGAUUGUGAUUACAGUGUUCAAAAACAAGCUGUUUUAAUGUAUUUUGUAAAUAUGUUUUUCGCAGUUAAAAACACUAGCUCUAACCGUAACUACGAAACCCUGAUUCAAACCUGAAUCACAUAACCCAAACCCUAACCUUGGAGUUGGGAUGUUUCUGAUUCAAUUUGUAUAUUUAAGUCAAACACAAUGUGCGGAAACCUUGGAAUCAUCAUCAAUUCAUAUCCUCAUUAUUAAUCAGUACAGGCAAUGUUUUAAGUAAGGUUCUAAACUGUAAAUGCAAGUACGUUGAAGAAAAUAAAUCACUACACUUUCA